Molecule: unclassified non-coding RNA, 386 nt
Filed under: uncultured fungus
Lineage: Eukaryota; Fungi
Description: partial contains small subunit ribosomal RNA, internal transcribed spacer 1, and 5.8S ribosomal RNA
Rfam family: Eukaryotic small subunit ribosomal RNA (bases 1-73)
Source: RNAcentral
GCAAACUUGGUCAUUUAGAGGAAGUAAAAGUCGUAACAAGGUUUCCGUAGGUGAACCUGCGGAAGGAUCAUUAUUGAAUAAACCUGAUAGGUUGUCGCUGGCUUCUUAGAAGCAUGUGCACGCCUGUCAUCUUUAUCCAUCCACCUGUGCACCUCCUGUAGUCUCGGAGUGAUAAGCAUGUGAAGGAAGACCUGUCAAGGGGCUUCUGAGAGUGCGGCUAACUCCCAAUAUCUCUCUACUCGUGCAAGUCCUUCGGGCCUAUGUCCUCUUUCAUACACCAUGUAAAAUGUCACAGAAUGCUUUAUAAUUGGCCUUAGUGCCUAUAAAAACGUAAUACAACUUUCAGCAACGGAUCUCUUGGCUCUCGCAUCGAUGAAGAACGCAGC